CAUUAUUAGUUUUAAUUUCAAAAGCUGUUGCUUAUAAUUAGCUGUUAAUAUCUUGUAGAUAUGCAAUACCUGGAAUUUUAAGUAAGUUUUUACUACUUAACUUAAUAGUUAAAGAUAUUACUUUCUUUAAAUGUUAGAAUUCAUCUGCGUAGAAUAAUUGUUAUAUUGUUAUAAUUAUAAUAAUAAUUUACCUGUAAAGUAAAUAAGUUCUUUACACAUCUUUUUUCUCCCAGAUCAUCGCAAGUGGAUGGGUGGUUGAACCAGUUUCUAUUAAUUUUCAAUCUUGCCAAGUGUCUUAUCUUGUUCAGAUGAUUGUUGGCAGUCCAGAAGUCAACUCUAUGGAAGAUAUCAGCAAUAUGCAAUCUCAGUGCAUUAACAACUUGAGCCUUUAUCUCUCUGCAAAACCACCUAGUUAUGGGCCUUCCUAAUAGAACUGUUAUUUUUUCAAUGUGUUUAGAAGUACAAAUUUUGUUACCUGUGUUUCAGAACAAAUAUUUCAAUGCAGGUAUAGUUUGUACACUGUAAAACAAAGACAUUAUAUCAACGGUCACGCUUUGCUUUGAGGUAGAUGAUAAUAUUUCAUUUUGAGGAGGACAAUUAAUUGCUCGGUUUUAUAUUAUGUGUGUGUUGUUUGUAUGAGUUUUAAGUGUUUUUAAUUAAAAGGACUGCAUAUUUUGAAGAAAUCUCAAUAUGAUGUUAUUGAUGGAGCUUGUUUCGAGAAAUAUUUGCACAUUAUUUUAAAAUUUUUAUAAAAAUUAAUCUAGCAGACUCAUACAGUCUUUAAACUGUUGUUUUUUGCAUGUGUUAGAUAAUGCAAACAUUUUAAUAAUAUUCGCUAUGAAAAUGAAAUAUUUACCUAAAACUGCUUGUAGAUAGUUAAAUUUAUAGAUAUAAAUGAAAUACUUAUAAAAUGGCUAUGUACAUUUAGAUAUUAUGCUACUUAAAUUAAAAUUAGAUUGCUGAAUAUGCUACAAAUAUUAAAUGACAUUUAUGAAACAUUGCAUUGUACUUAAUUUUAUUUUGUUUUAUGUCUCAAUGUAUUAGAAAAUAAGAAAGUCAGAGAAAUUUUACUGAUUUUCAAGCUUUUUUUUUCUUUCUAUAAGAUGAGGGAUAUAUAGAUUUUACUUGUAUUUUUUGACAUAUUCUGUAAAUCAUUUAAAUUGGCCUUUUUCAUAUUCUUAUAAAACUAUUCUUUUAAACCUAAUGAGUUCAGCAGAUCCCUAAAAUAUCACAUGUCCUCUUAAACACACAUUGAAGACCCCUACGCUUACUAAAAACUUUGUUCAGUUUAACAUAUGUAUGUGAAAUGCAAGUAAUGAAGGACAAUAUUAACAAAUGGAUAUCAUUGUAAACAUAGUUGAUAGUCAUAUGUUAACUUAUUUAGGAUAGUUACGAAUAGCUUAAUUUUGCUCAACUUGCAAAUAAUACUACAGCUGCCUGGGUCUGCCCAAUUAUUACGAACCAUAGUUAUGAAAUUUAAAACAUUGCAAGAAUUGCUAAUUAGCUUCUAGGUAAAUAAAACGCUCCUGAAAAUAGAGUUACAGUUCUGCAAUAAAAAAAGAGAAGAAGACAGGACUGUACUCAUACUUUUUACACCAUGUUUAUUCCCAAAUAAACAGAAAAAGUAAAGCAUUAGAUACUCGAAAAACAUCACUAUAUAUAUAGAGAGAAAAUAUUAGCAAUGAACAUUGAGUUUGUGGUUCUUGUAAGAGGUCCCACUCUAAUCAUGAAAUCAUUCCAAAAAACCAGUGAAGAAUAAAAGGCAGAAGGUGGAGCUCUCUAUUUUUUCAUUUGAAAACUCAACUCUAAUAGCUGCACAUUCAAAUUCUUCAGUCAAACUCUAUUUUAAUUUGCAAUAUCUAAUAGUGUAUGAUUUGGCGGUUAAUUUGAGAGAAAUUUCAAUGGUGUUAUUUUUCAUAAAUUUGUUAUAAAACAAUGAAGUGCGAACUAAUUUUUAUUAAUUUAUUUAUUUAUAAAAAAAAACAAUGCUAAUAUUUUGCUCAAACUUUGUCGCACACUUUUCUUCAAUCAGUAAAAUUGUUAAGAUGUACUUAAGCAUAUGUGUUAUCAGCGCAAAUCAAAAUUGAAGUACUAGUUAAAUAUAUUUCAAUGUUAAUGAUAUCAUUGUGCAAAUGACAAAACAUUACAUUAUAUGUAUAUAAUAUUAUUUAAAUAAAAUAACAUUUAAUUAUC
Non-coding RNA from Parasteatoda tepidariorum (common house spider), 2193 nucleotides. NCBI's taxonomy places the organism in Eukaryota, Metazoa, Arthropoda, Arachnida, Araneae, Theridiidae. The record is from RefSeq and is a predicted model, not a curated record.